RNAcentral lists this ribosomal RNA (467 nucleotides) under uncultured bacterium. RNAcentral describes it as "partial 16S ribosomal RNA". It matches the Rfam family "Bacterial small subunit ribosomal RNA", at positions 28 to 507 of the family's 1533-position model. The record is from RNAcentral.
GACGAACGCUGGCGGCGUGCUUAACACAUGCAAGUCGAACGGAAAGGCCUCUUUCGGGGGGUACUCGAGUGGCGAACGGGUGAGUAACACGUGAGUAACCUGCCCUUGACUUUGGGAUAACUUCAGGAAACUGGGGCUAAUACCGGAUAGGAGCUCCUGCUGCAUGGUGGGGGUUGGAAAGUUUCGGCGGUUGGGGAUGGACUCGCGGCUUAUCAGCUUGUUGGUGGGGUAGUGGCUUACCAAGGCUUUGACGGGUAGCCGGCCUGAGAGGGUGACCGGCCACAUUGGGACUGAGAUACGGCCCAGACGCCUACGGGAGGCAGCAGUGGGGAAGAUUGCACAAUGGGUGGAAGCCUGAUGCAGCAACGCCGUGUGCGGGAUGACGGCCUUCGGGUUGGAAACCGCUUUCGCUCAUGACGAAGCUUUGUGUGACGGUAGUGGGUAAAGAAGCACCGGCUAACUACGUG